GUUCCACCAAAAACCACAACUAUGAUUCAUUCGAACUUAUCCAAAAUGCAACCAAAAUUCCAAAGUGUGCAUAAUCUCUUUUAUCAUCUUAAGUUCUGUGUUCAAAAUUCCAAAGAGUUCAUAAUAUCUUUUAUCAUCUUAAGUUCUGUGUAGUUGAGAUGUUGCAACUGUUCUUUGCAAUGGCAUUUUCUGCAGUUCCUUUGAGCCUUUAUAUUCCUCCAAUCAGAAACCUCAACCUUUUCAUCGAAUUCAUCGAGGAUAUGCGGAGGGAAUCGAGUUUCUAUACUGGCAGGAUGUAUCCUCGUUUGAGAUAUGCUUUUACUAGGAUCUUCAAUUGUAUGCUUUGUUAUAAUCAAGCUCCUCGCCGCGUGUAAGCAGCCGUCGAGGUUUCUUUUAGAAUGAACUCACUCCAGAGGGGUCAAAAAAACUUGUUUAUAAGUAGUUUCUUCUUUUUUGUAUCUCUACUGUGUUUCUUUUGUGUUUGUGG
This 487-nucleotide long non-coding RNA is filed under the name Olea europaea subsp. europaea. The record is from RNAcentral. Lineage: Eukaryota; Viridiplantae; Streptophyta; Magnoliopsida; Lamiales; Oleaceae.